CUCAACCGCUGGAGCAUUGGAGAAGUCCACGGAGGCCUUUAAACUCUUCUUUUUCACUGAUGUGCGUCUCCAGCCCAGUUCAGCCCAAGAUUCUUUCUCUUCCUGGUGCUCCAAGUCCUGAUUCCUACAGUGGGCCCCCUGCCUCCAGUUGGUCUUGUGGACAGAGCUUCUGGCAGUAAACCGAGCAUCCCUGCCCUGGGGGCCUCGCCCAGCGCAUGGGCAGCACUAGGUGGGCAGGUGUGUGCCCCAGCAGGGCCCGGCUUCAGAAAACAUCUGCGAGAGUAAAUGACUGAGAUGAAAGAUCUUGGCAAAGAGCUAUUUUUCUUUGCUUGGCUUAAAGGGGGACAGAUGAAGACUUCAGCCUCACCCUCGCCCUCCCCAGCGGGACUCCCUCCCCCACCUCGCAGGGAGAGGAGAAAUGGGAUCUGAAUGAAGACAGACCAGAAGGUGGCCCAGCCGGCCCCAAGUCCCCAGGCAGGGGAGGUUGUUUUUCCAGUG
This is a long non-coding RNA of Cervus elaphus (red deer), 498 nucleotides long. RefSeq lists it as uncharacterized. The record is from RefSeq and is a predicted model, not a curated record. The transcript is spliced from 3 exons. Lineage: Eukaryota; Metazoa; Chordata; Mammalia; Artiodactyla; Cervidae.